RNAcentral lists this ribosomal RNA (482 nucleotides) under uncultured bacterium. RNAcentral describes it as "bacterial SSU rRNA". It matches the Rfam family "Bacterial small subunit ribosomal RNA", at positions 29 to 506 of the family's 1533-position model. The record is from RNAcentral.
UUGAACGCUGGCGGAAUGCUUUACACAUGCAAGUCGAGCGGCAGCGCGGGGGCAACUCUGGCGGCGAGCGGCGAACGGGUGAGUAACACAUCGGAACGUGUCCAGUAAUGGGGGAUAACCUGGCGAAAGCCAGGCUAAUACCGCAUACGUCCUGAGGGAGAAAGCGGGGGACCGUAAGGCCUCGCGCGAUGAGAGCGGCCGAUAUCUGAUUAGCUAGUUGGUGGGGUAAAGGCUCACCAAGGCGACGAUCAGUAGCUGGUCUGAGAGGACGACCAGCCACACUGGGACUGAGACACGGCCCAGACUCCUACGGGAGGCAGCAGUGGGGAAUUUUGGACAAUGGGGGCAACCCUGAUCCAGCCAUUCCGCGUGAGUGAAGAAGGACUUCGGGUUGUAAAGCUCUUUCGGUGGGAACGAAACGGCACAGGCGAAUAACCUGUGCUAAUGACGGUACCCAAAGAAGAAGCACCGGCUAACUACGU